UACGGAGGGUGCAAGCGUUAUCCGGAUUUACUGGGUUUAAAGGGUGUGUAGGCGGGCUUUUAAGUCAGUGGUGAAAUCUCCGGGCUCAACCCGGAAACUGCCAUUGAUACUAUUAGUCUUGAAUUUUGUUGAGGUAGGCGGAAUAAGUCAUGUAGCGGCGAAAUGCAUAGAUAUGACUUAGAACACCAAUUGCGAAGGCAGCUUGCUAAACAAAUAUUGACGCUGAGGCACGAAAGCGUGGGGAUCAAACAGG
RNAcentral lists this ribosomal RNA (253 nucleotides) under uncultured bacterium. Its description in RNAcentral is "partial 16S ribosomal RNA". It matches the Rfam family "Bacterial small subunit ribosomal RNA", at positions 524 to 776 of the family's 1533-position model. The record is from RNAcentral.